Long non-coding RNA from Fukomys damarensis (Damara mole-rat), 2507 nucleotides. The record is from Ensembl. NCBI's taxonomy places the organism in Eukaryota, Metazoa, Chordata, Mammalia, Rodentia, Bathyergidae.
GUGGGUGUGAACUGGGUAGAUUUGUUCAGUCCUCUCAGCCAGCUCACCAAACAGUGUGGGUAAAAAGAAUUCAGAACAAGCUCAGUACUAUGAGUACUGCUUCCAGGUGGUUAUUCCUGGGCACUGGCCCAGUGACCCAGUUCUGAUACAUGGUCCUCCUUGCCCACCCCAUCUGCUCUAAAAUAAAUGUUGCAUUUGCAAGCAUGAGGACCCGAGCUUGAUCCCUAGUACCAAAACAAACAAAAAUAAGUGGAGCACAUGCAAACUAACCCCAAAGUUCAGCCCUGAUGUUGGAUGGUAAUGUGGUCUCGCUCACUGAACUGUAAGAUUUCUUGGUUCCAAAAUGCUGCAAACCUUGUAGCCUAUAAAUACAAUGAACUGCAUCUGAGAGUGGAAUCAUGUGGCUCAUCAGACACCCAGGAGACAUAGUUGGGGACACAAAGAGCUCAGCCCUGUCCAGGGUUUCUGUCCACAGGGAACAGUAGGCACAGGUGAAAAGUGCAUUCGCUAUCAUGCUUUUCCAGCCAGCCCUCUGUCUAUCAGGGCUCUGAGGCACUAAGCCACAUGUAUUGACUCUGUCUCCCCACAGAGGUAUGGGCCAGGCUCUGAUGUGCACAGCAAUGGUCCCACACCCUGCUCCAUCCUUUCCAUGCAGUCCCCAUUGUGCCCAGCUCUCCAGUUCCCGUCCAGGUCCUGUGACUCUAAUUCCCCACUCACUGGACUGCCUUUUGUUUCUUGUUAUUCUCCCCAGCCUCAGACCCUCUGCUGUCCUUUAAGACUUCUACCUGGGCUCAUCCUUCCAGCCUACAACAGACUCCAUUUGUCCAUCACAGAGCAGUUGGUCACGGCAUCAGCCAUUUCUGGUGUUCAGACCCUGAAAGAGGAAGUGAGCUUCUUAAAUUCUGAAUGUCACAGAGCCAUCCUGCCACCCCUCAUCAGUUCUGGGGAUGAGAUGUUCCACCAGAAGGAAAAAUCAGUUGUCCUGACCAUGCUGGUGGGGGCACCACAUUGUCCUUGCCCCUGUGACACCAGGAGGAGAAGGAAAACCAGGGACCAGCUUCAGGUAGAGGAAGGAGCAGAACCUGUGGGCUGACUCACAGAGAAGAAAAAAAAAAAGAAAAGAAAAGAAAAGAAAAAAAGAAAAAAUCAAGGUAAAAUUGCUUCUAAAUUGAAUGUUUUUCACUAUUUUCAGUGUGGUGUCUGCAAUACUCCAAGAUGAUUUCCUCUUGGGGUUUCAGAAAAGCUGUAAAUAGAAUGAAUUGCUUUUAGGGACAUACUCUGGUAGUUCACUUCUCAAGAAAAUAUAUGCUAAUGCAUGUAGACUAUCAUUAUUGGGGAGACCUAUGUACUGACUCUUUUAUGUCUAUGAAGAGCAGUUUUCUGAUUGCUAGCAUUUUGCCAAAGUCUCUGUCAUGCGUGGGCUGAAUAUCUAGCAGAAAGAGGCGGAUUCAGCUAAGACUACAUGCUGAGUCUCUCCUAAGCCAGGGUUGGAGGGGGGUCUUGGUUUGCCCAAAGUUUCUUAUUAAGUGAAAAACAGGGAAAGGACAACUUUGCCUGAGAACCUAAAUGAAAGUCAAACCAGUCCAGACUCACCUGCAAUUCUGGAACCCCUGGGUGAUUUGGAGGCAGGGAAGUCCUCUCCGGGUCACCCACGAGCUCCGCAGUGUGGGCCACACCCAGCCAGAAGGUGGCAGUAUGUCCCACGUGCCCUGGAAGCCUUCGCUGACCAUUUCAGGCCCUGUCUGUAGGAUCAUCUUCCGCUUACCCAGCCAUCGUCUUCUGAGUUUUCUUCUGUUAUGGCAAAGUGGGUUAAACAACACUCGGCUUUGUGAGGAACACAGCCAACAAAUGAGAUAUCAAAUGCAGCUUCCCGUGUAAAAGAUCAGACUCCGGCGGGCACGCACGCCGGCGCUCUGCUGGAACUCCUUGGCUCUGCAGCCAGCUUCAUUUAGGAUUCAUAAAUACCUUUGUGCACUCCCGCACACAGACGCCAAAGGAAUUUCAUUCUGUAUCAUCUGCAUUUAAACACAACAAAGAGGAAAAGAUGUGGACGUUAAAGAGAAAGAAGGAAGUGGCUGUGAAGAAAAUCUGAGGCACCAAGUGGUGGGUGUUUGGUAGAUGAUGACUUGAUGAAGGGUUCGCCAUCUCUCUGUUCUGACAGAAGCAUCAGUUCGUCUAUAGUCUGGUGGGCGAAUGCAGCCCUUUCUGAUGGCAGGGUGCCUUGGUCAACGACACUUCAAACUGCUGCACUGGGUGCUGGUCAAGAUGGACAUCAGCCUUACAAGUGUUGGUCCGAAGGUCCACUUGACAAGCUUCUGGGAACUUUUGAAUUCAGGAAGCAAACUUGAAUGCUUUUGGGAACCAGGCUGAAGAACCUUUGGUAUGAAGCUGGCCAAGUAUGUGGUGAGUAUGUCUGCUCAACCUCAGGGAUGCAGCCGUUACUCAGGUCCUGCUGGUUAUUACCAAAAGGAAAUUGUUGUCAGAUCUCUCAGCACAUCAAAAGAAAC